UGCCCAAGAGAUCGGGAUAACACCUGGAAACAGAUGCUAAUACCGGAUAACAACAGAUGAUGCCUAUCAACUGUUUAAAAGAUGGUUCUGCUAUCACUCUUGGAUGGACCUGCGGUGCAUUAGCUAGUUGGUAGGGUAACGGCUUACCAAGGCGAUGAUGCAUAGCCGAGUUGAGAGACUGAUCGGCCACAUUGGGACUGAGACACGGCCCAAACUCCUACGGGAGGCAGCAGCG
RNAcentral lists this ribosomal RNA (235 nucleotides) under uncultured Lactobacillus sp. RNAcentral's name for it is "partial 16S ribosomal RNA". It matches the Rfam family "Bacterial small subunit ribosomal RNA", at positions 127 to 356 of the family's 1533-position model. The record is from RNAcentral. Lineage: Bacteria; Bacillati; Bacillota; Bacilli; Lactobacillales; Lactobacillaceae.